UACGAAGGGGGCUAGCGUUGUUCGGAAUCACUGGGCGUAAAGCGCACGUAGGCGGAUCUUUAAGUCAGGGGUGAAAUCCCGAGGCUCAACCUCGGAACUGCCUUUGAUACUGGGGAUCUCGAGUCCGGGGAGAGGUGAGUGGAACUGCGAGUGUAGAGGUGAAAAUUCGUAGAUAUUCGCAAGAACACCAGUGGCGAAGGCGGCUCACUGGCUCAUAACUGACGCUCAUGCACGACAGCGUGGGGAUCAAACAGGAUUAG
RNAcentral lists this ribosomal RNA (260 nucleotides) under uncultured bacterium. RNAcentral's name for it is "partial 16S ribosomal RNA". It matches the Rfam family "Bacterial small subunit ribosomal RNA", at positions 524 to 781 of the family's 1533-position model. The record is from RNAcentral.